AGCUCAUGCGCUCGGUGGCCCCCGGCCCACAAGCUGACAGAUGAUAUUGAAGACCAUCAGCAUUUCAGAAAAUCAUUCAUAACAUCAAUGAAAACGUCCCAUCUACUCGUUAUGGAACCUUAUAGGUUUGGCAGAUUACAGGGCACUUUUCUCUGACAGCAACAACACCGAAACCUGCCAGCAUGAUGGAUGAACUAAUCCGCUUGUUGAGAAUUGCUUUAACUAUGGUGUAGCUUCUACAGCAAACAGGCACCUGAACAACAAAACACACAAGCAGCCAAAGCAGGAGUGUCGACAGGUCCCCCUCACCUUCUCCGAGGCUGUAUUGCAGGCGGGCGUCCCACGCCAGCAGGGCCUCCUUGCUGUCGAAGCCCAGUAGAGCGGCCUGGUUCAGGCAGAGGA
Molecule: long non-coding RNA, 402 nt
Organism: Thunnus maccoyii (southern bluefin tuna)
Lineage: Eukaryota; Metazoa; Chordata; Actinopteri; Scombriformes; Scombridae
Exons: 3
Source: RefSeq, a predicted model, not a curated record